This 68-nucleotide transfer RNA is filed under the name Herdmania momus (red throated ascidian). RNAcentral's name for it is "transfer RNA-Asp (GUC)". The record is from RNAcentral. Lineage: Eukaryota; Metazoa; Chordata; Ascidiacea; Stolidobranchia; Pyuridae.
UAGGAGUUAGGAUAUGUAAAGAGUCCUGCCCAUUGUCUAUGGGCCAGAGUAUAGGCUUACACUUCUGU